GCCCGGAUGGUCUAGUGGUAUGAUUCUCGCUUUGGGAUCGCAACUCUAAUGCGAGAGGCCCCGCGUUCGAACCGCGGUUCGGGCC
Non-coding RNA from Aspergillus ibericus CBS 121593, 85 nucleotides. The record is from the annotation of a RefSeq genome assembly. NCBI's taxonomy places the organism in Eukaryota, Fungi, Ascomycota, Eurotiomycetes, Eurotiales, Aspergillaceae.